This 65-nucleotide transfer RNA is filed under the name Chelydra serpentina (North American snapping turtle). Its description in RNAcentral is "tRNA-Cys". The record is from RNAcentral. Lineage: Eukaryota; Metazoa; Chordata; Testudines; Chelydridae.
ACUCGGUAGUGAAAUUCAUGCCAAAUUGCAAAUUUGGAGAUAUACUUUUAUUGGUGUCCGGGUUU